RNAcentral lists this ribosomal RNA (579 nucleotides) under uncultured bacterium. RNAcentral describes it as "bacterial SSU rRNA". It matches the Rfam family "Bacterial small subunit ribosomal RNA", at positions 337 to 916 of the family's 1533-position model. The record is from RNAcentral.
UCCUACGGGAGGCAGCAGUGAGGAAUAUUGGUCAAUGGACGGAAGUCUGAACCAGCCAUGCCGCGUGCAGGAAGACGGCCCUACGGGUUGUAAACUGCUUUUAUGUGAGAAUAACCCUAGUCUUGCGAGAUUAGCUGAAGGUAUCACAUGAAUAAGGAUCGGCUAACUCCGUGCCAGCAGCCGCGGUAAUACGGAGGAUUCGAGCGUUAUCCGGAUUUAUUGGGUUUAAAGGGUGCGUAGGCGGGCUAAUAAGUCAGUGGUGAAAUCACUCAGCUUAACUGAGUAACUGCCAUUGAUACUGUUAGUCUAGAAUAUAAAUGGUGCAGGCGGAAUGAAUCAUGUAGAGGUGACAUUCAUAGAUAUGAUUCAGAACACCGAUCGCGAAGGCAGCUUGCAAAGAUAUUAUUGACGCUGAGGCACGAAAGCGUGGGUAGCGAACAGGAUUAGAUACCCUGGUAGUCCACGCUGUAAACGAUGAUAACUCGUUGUCGGCGAUGCACAGUCGGCGACUAAGGGAAACCGAUAAGUUAUCCACCUGGGGAGUACGAUCGCAAGGUUGAAACUCAAAGGAAUUGACGG